Molecule: non-coding RNA, 117 nt
Filed under: Gorilla gorilla gorilla (western lowland gorilla)
Lineage: Eukaryota; Metazoa; Chordata; Mammalia; Primates; Hominidae
Source: Rfam by way of RNAcentral
GCCGGGUGCGGUGGCUCACGCCUGUAAUCCCAGCACUUUGGGAGGCCGAGGUGGGUGGAUCACCUGAGGUCAGGAGUUCGAGACCAGCCUGGCCAACAUGGUGAAACCCCAUCUCUA